Molecule: long non-coding RNA, 5390 nt
Organism: Sarcophilus harrisii (Tasmanian devil)
Lineage: Eukaryota; Metazoa; Chordata; Mammalia; Dasyuromorphia; Dasyuridae
Exons: 2
Source: RefSeq, a predicted model, not a curated record
UUUUUUUUUUUUUUUUUUUUUUUUGGUAAAUUAUUCUGUAAAAAUGCAUAAGUUGUUCAGUGUUUUAUGAAAUUUUUAGAAUUUAUGGUAUGUUGGGAAACUUCAAUUCUUAUAAGUAUUGUUUCCAUAUAGUAACCUUCUUAAAUGUAAUAUAAUUGAUCAAUCUAUUCCAUCAAACUGCCUUUUCUCUUAAGAUUGCCAAUGUUUUUAAACCGUGACCUUGUUUUAAAAGGAAAUGUUAGUCUGAUUCAGAUGCAUUUGUGAGAAUACAUCGGGUAUAGCUUUGUACAGGCUGAUCUCCACAAUUUUGUGGAAGGAGAAAUAAUAUAUUCAUUUUUGUCUUCCAUAUCAGAUUUAUCCUUUAUAAAGUUCUAAAUCUCUCUCUUAUAAGUGCUCCAAUAAAUUUCUUUUUCACCUUUUAAAAGGUCACAUUGUUAAAAAUCAGGUAAGGUAGAGGAAAUAUUCAUUUAGAAAAUUAGGUUUUUUAGCAUGGGAAGUUAAAAGUCUAUGAUUUUGUAUCAGAUUAGGCUUGUUGAAUUUCUUUGCCAGUAAGGCUCCAAUAGUCAAACUUCAGAUCACAAGUGAAUGAUUUUUUUUUCCCACUAAUACUUUAGUUUAGUUUAGUUUAACUAAUAGUUUAGUUUAAUGCAUUUGUCAAUAUUGGCUUAACCUUCUGUUAUAUUUAAUAGGUUUACCUUGAUGGGAAUGGAUUGGACAAUUGAUAUUUCAAAUGAUUUUUUCUGGUUUUUUUUUGUUUUUGUUUUUGUUGUUGUUGUUGUUGUUGUUAUUGUUGAUUCAUGAGGUAUAUUUUUUUAACAAUUUUUAAGCCUGAAUUUUGAAUCACUCUUUCUGGUGCCUGACCUUGUAAUUCAUUUAUUUAGGUUUUUAGGUGAUUAGAAUUUUAAUUUUUUUUUGGGGGGGGGGCGGGGUAAAGAACCUUUAUGUGUUUUCUUUAUGGAUACUUCUCAGUAUAAUCAUUGAGGAAAAAGGCUUGGUCAACUUGUAGUAGCCGUGUUUUUGUCAACCAUUCCCCAAAGUAUUAGUCUUUAACUGAGGUGGUGUUUUUUUUUUUUUUUAAUCAUUUUUUCAAAGUAACAAAAAUGAACAAUUAUAUAACUAAAACAUAUAUUUCACCUGAAAAAACGAACACUAGUACUCUUGAUAUUAAUCGUCAUGGAUUGUUGUGGCAUUCCAUCUUCUCCCUUUUUAAAAGGCAUUUAUCUUCUCCAUAAUACAGUUUUACAGAAAUAUAAGCUUACCUGCAAAAUCAAUUCAUAUUUUUUAAGAUAAUGAAAAUAUAAAAACAUUUGAAAAUUUACCCAGAAAUUCUGGGCCCAGCAAUUGGCUGAGUAUUAUCAUCUUUCUGAAGUAUUAAAUUAUUGUGUGUGUGUGUGUGUGUGUGUAUCUUAAUGUUUUACAAUUAAUGUUUGUAGAUUACUUGUUUAGAAAAGUUAAUUUGAGCUUAUAUGAAAUUGUUAUCCCAUGGUUAAAGUACUUGUUUUUAAAUUUUGGAUUUUACUAAGUGUGGGGGAAAUGGGACAAAAGCAGAACUAUCUUUACUUAAGACUUCUGUUAGAUUUAUAUCUCAGGUUAAUGUAGACCAAAAGGUGAUUAUUAUAUUUGUGACUCCUAAAUUCCACUAUAAUGCCAUAUAAGUCUUCAUUUUACAAUUUUUUUCUAUAAGUUAGGGAUUUUUAAUGGCCUAAUGUGGUUCUAUUCUCUUCCUAAGAUGAUGGUAAAAUAAGAAAAUAUGGAUGACGUUUCCUAAAAUUUGUUCCAUUUGUAAUUCAGGAGAAAAGAUGUGAUCAGAAUAGGAAUGCUGAAUUCAAGAUAUCUUUUCUGCUGGACCAGUGAUAAAAUUCCAAUGAUCAUUGGCAGAAGGCUCAGGAUUUCUUGUGGCACACACAUGGUGAGAUGGAUGGAUGCUGUUACUGGAAUGCAUCUUCAAAAUUUCUAAAGACUGUGAUUUCAACCAUUUGGUAAUUCCUCUCUAUAUGCAUAUUGAUUCUUUUUCAUGCCCUAGAUUAUAUAUUUUUUUCCCAUGAGUUCCCAUGGUCAGAGAAUUCAUUAUCUGGUUGUCAAGCUUUUGGUGCUGAGCCUCUUUGGGUUUUGUUAACUGGUCUUUUCACACUCUUUGGUCAGACCUGUGUUUUAUUAACUUUCUGAUUUGGCUAGUACCUGGCAUAAUCAUUAAGAUCUGAGUUUUCUGCCAUUUCUAAAGGACCUAAAGAUUGUCUGGUCCAACUUUUGGGCAGAGAUGUAUUGUUCCCCAUUCGAUAGCUGAAGAUCAAGGUGGUGGCUUGCCCAAGGUUGCAAGGGAUAUAAGGAGAAGGGAAUUUGGAAAUUGAUCAGGAUGGUAUGGAACCUGCAUCGCUGCUUCUCAGUGCAUCUCUGCUUCUCAGUGCUAUCUUCAGCUGCAUCUACUGCUUUUCCAACAUCAAUACUAGCUUCUUACAUAUGUGCUUUUAGAAGAUUUUUCCUUAUAUCCUUGUUAAUAGAGGAAGGCAAGAGAGAGCAUUUUGUUCUCAUCAGCAGGCAGGUAAAUUUUUGGUUAAAAAAAUUUUUUUAAAUUUUUUGAAAAUCUUAAAUUAUAUUUAUUAUAGAGUUCAGUUUUGGGGGCAUAUGAGGGUAUAUCCAGAAAUGACUAUGAUAUGAAACAAAAGAUCAAUAAAAACUUAAAAUCAAUUUAAAAGGAAAUAAUUGUAGCCAAUAUUGCCUAUUUGCUAUUCUGAUUUACUUGUCAGAUGUCUUAGUUAGAUUAAUUAGAUGUUUUAAUUCAUUCUCGUGAAUAUUUGUGAAUUUAUAAUAAUUACUUAACCAUUUUCCCCAUAACUAAGAUCUUUGACAAUGGAGCAUUAGCAAUAUAAACCCAACAUCUAAAAGUACCCUGUACUAUUUGGAAGUUUGUCCUGAGCUAGAUAUUUUCUCAAAAAUUGGAAAAAGAGCACAGAAAUUGUGAAAGGUCCAGAGUAGGCAAUAAUGUUGCUAAAAGCAGAUUCCAAAUAGAAACUUGGGCAGAGAUUAUUAACUUAGAAAACCACAAUAUUUUAUUUAUAUUUUAUUAAACAUUUCCCAGUUAGCAUUUAAUGUAGUUUAGUUCUGAAAUGGCCCUACCAGGAUGUGAGAAAUUCAGUAAGUUACCAUGAUUUGCAGAGAAUUAUAUAUUGUAAGCCAGAGGAAGGACUUCAACCUGGCCAAAUUUCUUGCUUUGACUAACUGUAAUCAUUAUGCAAAACUGCCUCUAGGAAUAGGAAUAAAGCUUUUCUUCCAUGUGUAAUGUGGGCCUAUCACAUGGUACCUGUUUUAGAACAAUGUUUUAAGAAUUAAAAUAUUGACAGUUAAUUCCUUUUGAAAUUUCUGUGUUAAAAGGUGAAGUUUAAAGAAUUUUCGCAUUAUGGGAUAAAACAUAGUUUUGAAUUUUAUAUUACUAAUCUUGAGAUUAGCCCUUCAUUCAAUAAUAGUGUGACCAUAGUAUGACUAUUUAUUGGAAGUAGACCAUUGCUUCUCUCAAUUAAUGAAGUAUGUAAGUGCCCGUGUGCCAGACAUUGAAAAUACAAGAGAAAAGUGAUUCAAUACCUGUCCUCAAGAAGCUAAGGUACUUCCAUUUGGGAUUAGGGAAGUAAGGUUGUGAGUAAAAACAAGUUCCUUUAUUUCCCUUUUUCUCCUUUCUCCCUAUAUACAAAUUCUUAUCUCGGUACUUUGAGAGGCAAUUUAUCCAUUUAACAAUUAUUAUAUAUACAAGGUAUAUAUAGACAUAUAUUAACCGAGAUUUUUCUUUUCUUUUUCAGGUUGGAAAUAGACUCAUAGGUCCACAUUCUUCUGUGUUAAUCUUUAACAGUUCUUUGGGCAAAGUGAUCUUGAAUGUAAAUUUCAUUUAUGUUGAAUUAUCAAUAAUAGAAAAAUCCAAAAUAUUAACAUUUAUUAAAAUGCAAUUCAGGCUUUUAUGGUGAAAUAUUCAAACAGUGUUAGUGUUAGUUUUUUGUUUGAGUAUUCAAACUACUCUGAAUAAAAUUCUGGCUUUUGCUUUUGUCAUCAGAUCUUAAUUUUGGUGAAGUUCUCCCCAUUUCCUAUGAGUUGCUUCCCUCCUUCCAUAUAGGUCUGGAGAGUUGGACACUGUCUUUUUAUUCAUCUUGGCAGCAUAGAAACUGCCCUUUUAUCUCCAAACAUGGAUAAACUUUCUGAAAAAAUUGUUCAGAGUAAGUAUCCUUUCCCUUAUUCCUAUUCCUGCAAACUUCUUUAUGCUGGUUGGAAACCAUUAAUAUCGCCUGCUUUCCAUUGAUUUUUGGACCACUUAUAAAUCUAAUUCUGGAGAAUGAUUGUGGUAGUAUAACACUGAAGGCGCAUCCUUCAGUUUAUUUGUAUGCAUAAAAAGGCUAUAUACCAAGUCUGAAAGCAAAAUUUCUUGCUUCAUUGUUUUUUUUUUUUUUAAACGUUUUUUGUGAUCAUAUAUCUUAUGAGCUAUAUAAGAAAUUUUUUUUCUUUUUCAUCAAGGGGCCCAGAUCAAAGCUGGUCUUUUUUGGUUUCAUUCUCUUAAGUCCUGUUUGUAACCUUAGGAUCACAGACAAAGAUCAGAUUUUACCUGGGCUAUUCACAAAUAGUGGGAAAGUUCAAAAUCUUUUGUCAGUUGCCUAGGGUGAAUGGGUGUAAUGAUUGUGGGUGUUUUCAUGUUUAGAAUUCCCUAAACUGUUCAAACCAAAGUUAUCACUUAUUUAAAUGGGUUUUCUACAAAUUUAUAUUUCGAUGCGUUAUUGUAAUGAGAAAGUUAUUAAAAACUGAAAUGAUUACCCUCAUUUGUUAUGUGCCUUUUUCUGCUGUCAGUUGACAACUAUGGAUGUAAAAUUCCAUGUUUUCCAGCUCAGGAUGGAAACUGCAAAUUGUGAAACAAUUGUGCACAAGAAUCUACAUAAUUCAUUGAAGAAAUCAAUUUUUCAAAAGCCUAGGAAGAAUUUCCAGGGAGCAACUGGGAAAUAAUGUUUUUAUUGAACUUCACUUUACAGAUGAGUAAACUUCAUCAAAGUCAACACAUAUAUCUUCAGUGUAUCAUAUGAACCAUAAAUCACCUCUGUAGACCUAAACUGCAAUGUAUGUUACUAAUAAAAUCAUGGAUCAAGUCCUUUCUUUCCCUUAUGUCUAUCUGUCCUCCCCUUCCUUGGGAAUAUGGGAAUUUUAUUUUUGUGUUUGUGUUGUUGCCCAUUUAACUGAAUUAGAAUGAAGUCAGAAUAUGGUGAAUACAGUGCAGUAGAAAGAUGCAGCCAUUUCUGGCAGGUAUGAGAGGAAGAAUUGUUUUUAAGCUGUCAAUUCAAAUUAAUUAGCAUUCUAGACUUAAAUUCAAAUGAGCAAAAUCUUGUAGAAUGAACAAAAUGGUUAGAAAUGUGCACAAAAUUAGUUAA